Long non-coding RNA from Pygocentrus nattereri (red-bellied piranha), 2185 nucleotides. RefSeq lists it as uncharacterized. The transcript is spliced from 7 exons. NCBI's taxonomy places the organism in Eukaryota, Metazoa, Chordata, Actinopteri, Characiformes, Serrasalmidae. The record is from RefSeq and is a predicted model, not a curated record.
AGUGGAAUUGUGGUGGCACAGCACGUUAGGAAAAGGUAGCCUCGCGCUCCUCACUCUGUCCUCCAUGUUAGCAGAUUUUCUACUACUAGAGGUCAGCUAGCGAGUCCUUUGUUUUUUGUUCUCUGCUCACUACCGUGUAAUGGCUGCCAGCUCGAGCUUCAGCUUUAAUAACAGCGGGGAAUAAGGUUCAAGGCCUCUUCAGAUAUUGCACCCCUUGGUAUGCGGAGUGAGGUAUGCACCUAGCAGUAUUUAUGUAUUUUGUAGAGUUGAGGUGUAUGUUUUUUGUUCUGUCUAACUUAUCGCAAUAGCGCUAAACCCACCUGCUUUAAGGCACGUAGCUUGUAUUGCUAGGUAAAAACUUUAAGCUUGUUAUAUAUGAACUUGUGGAAAUUAUAAGCAUGUAUUUUUUUGUAUUUUCUGUAUCUUAUUGUUUUCACGGUGCUCGUGAGAGUGUUCAGCAAGCUGAAUAAAAUAAAGCACCCGUUUAGAGACUCUCUGCGUUGCUUCUUGAAGCCAAGGGCUGCUACAUAUUUCAUGUUAAAACAAGAAAACAAGACAUGAAAGGUGGAUGUUGAACUGACUGAAGGUACCAAACAUCCAACACACACAACAAAGAUCAAAGACGAGGACCAGCACUAACUAAUUACCAAGAACACUAAACUCUCUGAAUCUGUAAAUUCUAAGCUCCAUAGAGAUCAAGGGGGAAAUGCUUGGUUCUUCAUUUCUAUAAUUAUUGAUAUUUAUUUUGUGUUAAAGUAGAAGAGGAGAUGUUUGAGGUGAUGGACACAGAUGACCAUCUGGAAUAUCUGGAAGAAGAAACGACAGAGGCAACACUCACGGAAGCUGAGGUCGAAGCUAUUAAAGAGCUAAUGCUCCUUUUCAUUGAGAAGAUCGAUGGCCGAAUCGCUGGAUGUGGAAAAGAAGUCUGAUAGCAAAGCAGUUUGGAACACCAUUAAAGGUCUGAUGGUAGAUCUGCUUUAUGAUGUCCAGAGAACAGUUGACCAGAGUCUCGGAAAUGAGUCGCACAAGGACGCUGACGUAGAAGUUGAGAAUGAUGACAUAAACAAACUGACGGACACUCAGCUGGACGACACAAAGACUACUUUCAAUCAAGCCCUUGGAAAAGACGGGAAUGACAGUUGAUCCUGUACCCAUUAAAAGUUGGGCUGAUAUGGUGGAUAAGACUGAAGGAAACAUCAACCAGACUGAUUUUUUUCUACCAGCUGAAAUUGAAGCAUUGAAGAAAGACGCAGAACUGAUGACUAUGGCUGGAGAUGAGCUGCCCAGUGCUGGCAGACAGAAUCCAGAUUCCAGAGGAGAGAUGAUCCACAAACUCCUUCAUGCAACGGAGGAUGUGUGAGCGAAAGAAGAAUGAGAGGAAAUACUGCUCAGUCUGCUCCUGCACACAUUGACAGAAAUGACUGGACACUGAAAACACCACACUGGUGGCAGCAUGAUGACCACUCUGCAUGAUGACCCUGAUGAAAUACAGACUGGAGAGAGACACCAGAAUAAGAAAUGGAGGAAUGGAAACAGGCAGUGGAAGAGUGGGAGAAGAACUGAUGCUUAAUACUCACCACUGAAGAAAACCUUUAGAGCAGCCUGAGAAUUAAGUCAGUGGAGACAUCAACAAGGAUUUGGAAAAAGAAGAACAGUCAGAGAACUCAGGAACCUGUGAAAGAGCACCUGAAACUGAUCCUCAUCAAUAGAGGAGGGCACAGAGAAAGGAGGAUAGGAGAUAAAUAUGUUAUUUGAAAGCAGGACAUCUGCAACCUCUCCUGAGGAAAAGAGUGCUCCACAAAACGACUGCAGAAAGAACAGAGAAGAACACAGCUAGAGAAGUCCAAAAUCUGUGAAAGAGCACCUGGAACUGUUCCUCAUCAGCAGAGAAGAACAUCCCUCCUGAGGAAAAGAGUGCUCCACAAAACGACUGCAGAAAGAACAGAGAAGAACACAGCUAGAGAACUCCCGAACCUGUGAAAGAGCACCUGAAACUGAUCCUCAUCAGCAGAGGAGAACAUCCCUCCUGAGUGCUCCAUCACUCCACAGAGCUGAAACAGACUUUUAACUCCACUUUUAUGCUACAGCCAAUCAAAUACAUCUCUUGAACAGCAGCCCCACUGGAGCGAAACAAGCAGUACAACACUUUUCAACCUCUAAAACCAAUAAAAGUCUUUCAGAAAAC